Long non-coding RNA from Daktulosphaira vitifoliae (grape phylloxera), 486 nucleotides. RefSeq lists it as uncharacterized. The record is from RefSeq and is a predicted model, not a curated record. NCBI's taxonomy places the organism in Eukaryota, Metazoa, Arthropoda, Insecta, Hemiptera, Phylloxeridae. The transcript is spliced from 4 exons.
AUUACUAUUACUAAAAUUAUUAAUUAACCGAAUAUAACUGAGUAAACAGCAAUUUCAAAGUUAUGUAGUAUUAGUUUUUUAAAGAUAUUAGCAUUAAAAGUUGUUACAAGGUGAGUGACAGGAUAGAUAUAUUCACGCUCCAAUUGUAUUACAGCAUGAAAAAAAAAUUCAAAAUGAAAUACUUCAAUAUCAUUUUUGUUUUGUGUUUUGUUAUGUGCAUCGUUUCCUUUUCGGUUGCCUCAGAUUCAACUCUGCAUGACGACGGUACUAAUGAUGAUAAAACUCAACAAGGUUCAGUACCAUUGAAUUCCGUCAACCUUGAUUCAGUUCCUCUUUAAAAAUUUUCAAAAUAUAUGAUAAAACAUUAAUUCAACAAUAUUAUAAUAUUUUCAGUUAAAAAAUCAAUUUAUAUAAAUUUCAUAAUAAAAAUUGUUAUACAUUUUAUAAUGAUUUUGUUUCCAAAAUAAAAUUUCUCAUAACAGUUUA